GUUUGCUGGCUCCCGCGGUGAUGGAUCACCGUUUCUGUGGCAUUUAAAUCCCCGGCGCUCCUCUGUCCGGGUGACGCGCAGUCGCCCCCCCAGGCAGCCCGGGCGGCGGCCGCAGCUGCGGUGGCUGCGAGGGCAGAUCCCGAGCGCUGGGGCGAAGGGGAGCACAGGCUGCCUUCUGCGCGCCGGCUCGCUCGCCCCCCCUCCGGGAGGUGGGGGCUGGGAAGCACCCCCUCCCUCCCCGUGUCCGCCCCCCUCCCCGCCGCGCACAGAAAAAGGAACUGACGAGAGGACUGUUUGCUGGACCCAUCCACAGCUGGGAGACUAAUCAGCCAUACUGAAAAUGUUCGACAUGGGUGGGGGAGGGGGGAAUGUAGCUGUUUGAAACAAACGUGUAUAAAUAAAUGAAUUGUUGACCUGGAGAUUGGUAGCUUGUUCAAGAAAGUCCAUGUCCCUGGAGUUGGGGGUUUCUGUAGGCACUUUAUUGCUCCACUUUCUAAAGCUUGGGCUGGGCCCAGUUCUGAGGCUUCCUCAUCCUGUUUCUCUGACCAAGUUACAUCUAUGGCUUGAACCUCUACAAUGAAAAAACAAAUCCAUUCCCCUGAAAGAAAGGAAGAAAGAAAGAAAGAAAGAAAGAAAGAAAGAAAGAAAGAAAGAAAGAAAGACUUCUCAGAUGCCCUAACCAUUUUCUGGAUUUCUUUUCUGAUGCCGUCUAUUGAAAAUUUUGAACAUGCCCCCUUAAUAAAUAUAUUAAAAUUGAAAAAGAA
Myotis myotis is the source of this 764-nucleotide long non-coding RNA. RefSeq lists it as uncharacterized. The transcript is spliced from 2 exons. Lineage: Eukaryota; Metazoa; Chordata; Mammalia; Chiroptera; Vespertilionidae. The record is from RefSeq and is a predicted model, not a curated record.